This is a small nuclear RNA of Myotis daubentonii (Daubenton's bat), 192 nucleotides long. RefSeq annotates it as U2 spliceosomal RNA. Lineage: Eukaryota; Metazoa; Chordata; Mammalia; Chiroptera; Vespertilionidae. The record is from RefSeq and is a predicted model, not a curated record.
AUCGCUUCUCGGCCUUUUGGCUAAGAUCAUGUGUAGUAUCUGUUCUUAUCAGUUUAAAACUUCUUGCAAAUGCCCUUUUUUUGGCACGAAAUUCGAAAUUUUAAGCAUGAAAAUAUCUAUGAUGUUAACACCUUCAGAAAAUUUGACAUAUGAAGUUUUGAAGCUUGUUGUCAAUACAACAAAAUAGCAUAC